CCAGACUCCUACGGGAGGCAGCAGUGAGGAAUAUUGGUCAAUGGUCGGGAGACUGAACCAGCCAAGCCGCGUGAGGGAUGAAGGUACAGAGUAUCGUAAACCUCUUUUGUCAGGGAACAAAGGCGGGGACGCGUCCCCGGAUGAGUGUACCUGAAGAAAAAGCAUCGGCUAACUCCGUGCCAGCAGCCGCGGUAAUACGGAGGAUGCGAGCGUUAUCCGGAUUUAUUGGGUUUAAAGGGUGCGUAGGCGGAGUGUCAAGUCAGCGGUAAAAUUUCGGGGCUCAACCCCGUCGUGCCGUUGAAACUGGCGUUCUUGAGUGAGCGAGAAGUAUGCGGAAUGCGUGGUGUAGCGGUGAAAUGCAUAGAUAUCACGCAGAACCCCGAUUGCGAAGGCAGCCUUCCGGCGCCCUACUGACGCUGAGGCACGAAAGUGCGGGGAUCGAACAGGAUUAGAUACCCUGGUA
This 463-nucleotide ribosomal RNA is filed under the name uncultured bacterium. RNAcentral describes it as "bacterial SSU rRNA". It matches the Rfam family "Bacterial small subunit ribosomal RNA", at positions 331 to 792 of the family's 1533-position model. The record is from RNAcentral.